Anolis carolinensis (green anole) is the source of this 730-nucleotide long non-coding RNA. RefSeq lists it as uncharacterized. Lineage: Eukaryota; Metazoa; Chordata; Lepidosauria; Squamata; Anolidae. The record is from RefSeq and is a predicted model, not a curated record. The transcript has 2 exons.
UAGGCCUCCUGAUCAGUCAUCUGGUUUAAGAGGAAGCAAAACAAUGGAGUUGCAUGAGUCACAAAACAGCCUUACCUACCUGCCAACCAUAGGGUUACUAGGGCAACCAACCCCUUGAAGGACAGAACAGGAUGCCUUCCUGGCCAUAUACUCCUUGAAUGCAGACAGAAAAAAAGACUGUUUGUGGAAACAUUGUCUAACUCAUCACCAACACCUGGGCAUCAAAUGAUGGGUAUCUGCUGUGGCUGUUGUUGCAGAGGUGCUGACGACGAUGCGCCAGAAUAUAUAUUUGAACCAACAGACAGUCCACCUAGACCACCAGCUGCAAAUAUCCGUCCCGUCCUGGAGCCAUGUGUUCGGUCAUGAAGAUAGAAGGCUGCAUGGAUACCAUCCACUAGCAUGGUAUCCUGUGCCAUUCCGACUUGGAAAAACCAUGAUGUUGCUAAAGCUUUCCCAUAAUCCCGUUAUCACCACAGGCAGUCAUGAAGACAUGUUUGCAAACUCCUACUUGAGAAGAGACAAACAUGUCCGAUUACCCCCUUGCCUGUAAUCCUGAUAGAUGUAGAUGAAGACUGACUAAAGACCAAAAACAAAGAAAACCCUGAUUCUGGAUCACCAAGAAUCAUGUCAAAGGAUCACCAACAACAGCAUGAUGUCCAGGAAUCGGAGUCAACAGGCUGCUUCGGCAAGCAUCCAAUUUCAACCCAACUGAAAUAAACUUCUAUCCUCA